RNAcentral lists this ribosomal RNA (492 nucleotides) under uncultured bacterium. RNAcentral describes it as "partial 16S ribosomal RNA". It matches the Rfam family "Bacterial small subunit ribosomal RNA", at positions 29 to 507 of the family's 1533-position model. The record is from RNAcentral.
AGUGAACGCUGGCGGUAGGCCUAACACAUGCAAGUCGAACGGCAGCACAGUAAGAGCUUGCUCUUACGGGUGGCGAGUGGCGGACGGGUGAGGAAUACAUCGGAAUCUACUUUUUCGUGGGGGAUAACGUAGGGAAACUUACGCUAAUACCGCAUACGUCCUACGGGUGAAAGCAGGGGAUCUUCGGACCUUGCGCGAUUGAAUGAGCCGAUGUCGGAUUAGCUAGUUGGCGGGGUAAAGGCCCACCAAGGCGACGAUCCGUAGCUGGUCUGAGAGGAUGAUCAGCCACACUGGAACUGAGACACGGUCCAGACUCCUACGGGAGGCAGCAGUGGGGAAUAUUGGAUAAUGGGCGCAAGCCUGAUCCAGCCAUACCGCGUGGGUGAAGAAGGCCUUCGGGUUGUAAAGCCCUUUUGUUGGGAAAGAAAAGCAGCAGGUUAAUACCCCGCUGUUCUGACGGUACCCAAAGAAUAAGCACCGGCUAACUUCGUG